Molecule: ribosomal RNA, 2919 nt
Filed under: Staphylococcus aureus
Lineage: Bacteria; Bacillati; Bacillota; Bacilli; Caryophanales; Staphylococcaceae
Description: 23S ribosomal RNA
Rfam family: Bacterial large subunit ribosomal RNA
Source: RNAcentral
UUAAGUUAUUAAGGGCGCACGGUGGAUGCCUUGGCACUAGAAGCCGAUGAAGGACGUUACUAACGACGAUAUGCUUUGGGGAGCUGUAAGUAAGCUUUGAUCCAGAGAUUUCCGAAUGGGGAAACCCAGCAUGAGUUAUGUCAUGUUAUCGAUAUGUGAAUACAUAGCAUAUCAGAAGGCACACCCGGAGAACUGAAACAUCUUAGUACCCGGAGGAAGAGAAAGAAAAUUCGAUUCCCUUAGUAGCGGCGAGCGAAACGGGAAGAGCCCAAACCAACAAGCUUGCUUGUUGGGGUUGUAGGACACUCUGUACGGAGUUACAAAGGACGACAUUAGACGAAUCAUCUGGAAAGAUGAAUCAAAGAAGGUAAUAAUCCUGUAGUCGAAAAUGUUGUCUCUCUUGAGUGGAUCCUGAGUACGACGGAGCACGUGAAAUUCCGUCGGAAUCUGGGAGGACCAUCUCCUAAGGCUAAAUACUCUCUAGUGACCGAUAGUGAACCAGUACCGUGAGGGAAAGGUGAAAAGCACCCCGGAAGGGGAGUGAAAUAGAACCUGAAACCGUGUGCUUACAAGUAGUCAGAGCCCGUUAAUGGGUGAUGGCGUGCCUUUUGUAGAAUGAACCGGCGAGUUACGAUUUGAUGCAAGGUUAAGCAGUAAAUGUGGAGCCGUAGCGAAAGCGAGUCUGAAUAGGGCGUUUAGUAUUUGGUCGUAGACCCGAAACCAGGUGAUCUACCCUUGGUCAGGUUGAAGUUCAGGUAACACUGAAUGGAGGACCGAACCGACUUACGUUGAAAAGUGAGCGGAUGAACUGAGGGUAGCGGAGAAAUUCCAAUCGAACCUGGAGAUAGCUGGUUCUCUCCGAAAUAGCUUUAGGGCUAGCCUCAAGUGAUGAUUAUUGGAGGUAGAGCACUGUUUGGACGAGGGGCCCCUCUCGGGUUACCGAAUUCAGACAAACUCCGAAUGCCAAUUAAUUUAACUUGGGAGUCAGAACAUGGGUGAUAAGGUCCGUGUUCGAAAGGGAAACAGCCCAGACCACCAGCUAAGGUCCCAAAAUAUAUGUUAAGUGGAAAAGGAUGUGGCGUUGCCCAGACAACUAGGAUGUUGGCUUAGAAGCAGCCAUCAUUUAAAGAGUGCGUAAUAGCUCACUAGUCGAGUGACACUGCGCCGAAAAUGUACCGGGGCUAAACAUAUUACCGAAGCUGUGGAUUGUCCUUUGGACAAUGGUAGGAGAGCGUUCUAAGGGCGUUGAAGCAUGAUCGUAAGGACAUGUGGAGCGCUUAGAAGUGAGAAUGCCGGUGUGAGUAGCGAAAGACGGGUGAGAAUCCCGUCCACCGAUUGACUAAGGUUUCCAGAGGAAGGCUCGUCCGCUCUGGGUUAGUCGGGUCCUAAGCUGAGGCCGACAGGCGUAGGCGAUGGAUAACAGGUUGAUAUUCCUGUACCACCUAUAAUCGUUUUAAUCGAUGGGGGGACGCAGUAGGAUAGGCGAAGCGUGCGAUUGGAUUGCACGUCUAAGCAGUAAGGCUGAGUAUUAGGCAAAUCCGGUACUCGUUAAGGCUGAGCUGUGAUGGGGAGAAGACAUUGAGUCUUCGAGUCGUUGAUUUCACACUGCCGAGAAAAGCCUCUAGAUAGAAAAUAGGUGCCCGUACCGCAAACCGACACAGGUAGUCAAGAUGAGAAUUCUAAGGUGAGCGAGCGAACUCUCGUUAAGGAACUCGGCAAAAUGACCCCGUAACUUCGGGAGAAGGGGUGCUCUUUAGGGUUAACGCCCAGAAGAGCCGCAGUGAAUAGGCCCAAGCGACUGUUUAUCAAAAACACAGGUCUCUGCUAAACCGUAAGGUGAUGUAUAGGGGCUGACGCCUGCCCGGUGCUGGAAGGUUAAGAGGAGUGGUUAGCUUCUGCGAAGCUACGAAUCGAAGCCCCAGUAAACGGCGGCCGUAACUAUAACGGUCCUAAGGUAGCGAAAUUCCUUGUCGGGUAAGUUCCGACCCGCACGAAAGGCGUAACGAUUUGGGCACUGUCUCAACGAGAGACUCGGUGAAAUCAUAGUACCUGUGAAGAUGCAGGUUACCCGCGACAGGACGGAAAGACCCCGUGGAGCUUUACUGUAGCCUGAUAUUGAAAUUCGGCACAGCUUGUACAGGAUAGGUAGGAGCCUUUGAAACGUGAGCGCUAGCUUACGUGGAGGCGCUGGUGGGAUACUACCCUAGCUGUGUUGGCUUUCUAACCCGCACCACUUAUCGUGGUGGGAGACAGUGUCAAGCGGGCAGUUUGACUGGGGCGGUCGCCUCCUAAAAGGUAACGGAGGCGCUCAAAGGUUCCCUCAGAAUGGUUGGAAAUCAUUCAUAGAGUGUAAAGGCAUAAGGGAGCUUGACUGCGAGACCUACAAGUCGAGCAGGGUCGAAAGACGGACUUAGUGAUCCGGUGGUUCCGCAUGGAAGGGCCAUCGCUCAACGGAUAAAAGCUACCCCGGGGAUAACAGGCUUAUCUCCCCCAAGAGUUCACAUCGACGGGGAGGUUUGGCACCUCGAUGUCGGCUCAUCGCAUCCUGGGGCUGUAGUCGGUCCCAAGGGUUGGGCUGUUCGCCCAUUAAAGCGGUACGCGAGCUGGGUUCAGAACGUCGUGAGACAGUUCGGUCCCUAUCCGUCGUGGGCGUAGGAAAUUUGAGAGGAGCUGUCCUUAGUACGAGAGGACCGGGAUGGACAUACCUCUGGUGUACCAGUUGUCGUGCCAACGGCAUAGCUGGGUAGCUAUGUGUGGACGGGAUAAGUGCUGAAAGCAUCUAAGCAUGAAGCCCCCCUCAAGAUGAGAUUUCCCAACUUCGGUUAUAAGAUCCCUCAAAGAUGAUGAGGUUAAUAGGUUCGAGGUGGAAGCAUGGUGACAUGUGGAGCUGACGAAUACUAAUCGAUCGAAGACUUAAUC